CAGGACGAACGCUGGCGGCGUGCCUAACACAUGCAAGUCGAGCGAGAUAAACCCUUCGGGGGGACUCUAGCGGCGGACGGGUGAGUAACACGUGGGUAACCUGCCUCAAAGAGGGGGAUAGCCUCCCGAAAGGGAGAUUAAUACCGCAUAACAUUAUUUCUUCGCAUGAGGAGAUAAUCAAAGGAGUAAUCCGCUUUGAGAUGGACCCGCGGCGCAUUAGCUAGUUGGUGAGGUAAUGGCUCACCUAGGCAACGAUGCGUAGCCGACCUGAGAGGGUGAUCGGCCACAUUGGAACUGAGAUACGGUCCAGACUCCUACGGGAGGCAGCAGUGGGGAAUAUUGCGCAAUGGGGGAAACCCUGACGCAGCAACGCCGCGUGGGUGAAGAAGGCCUUCGGGUUGUAAAGCUCUGUCUUCUGGGACGAUAAUGACGGUACCGGAGGAGGAAGCCACGGCUAACUACGUGCCAGCCGCGGC
Molecule: ribosomal RNA, 476 nt
Filed under: uncultured bacterium
Lineage: Bacteria
Description: bacterial SSU rRNA
Rfam family: Bacterial small subunit ribosomal RNA
Source: RNAcentral